This 248-nucleotide long non-coding RNA is filed under the name Elaeis guineensis (African oil palm). Its description in RNAcentral is "long non-coding RNA (EGUI_LNC021153)". Lineage: Eukaryota; Viridiplantae; Streptophyta; Magnoliopsida; Arecales; Arecaceae. The record is from RNAcentral.
GGUAGCAACGGCAAUGCCGUCGAUAUAGUAUUAGCGACGGCUACAACGACGAAAAUUUAGCCAUCACUAAUACUAACCCUAAAAGCCCCCCAUUGUUUUCCGACUUUUUAUUUUCGCUCAUUCCACCGCCACCCUCCUUUUUCCCCCGCCUCCGGUCCCUCUCUUUUCCCCAUCGUUGGAUCCCACUUUUUCGAAACCCCGGCCACCUUCUCCCGGCUGCCUCUAGUCCCCCUCUUUCUCCCGUCGCU